GGCCAGAUAAGGCGUUCACGCCGCAUCCGGCAACAACUGCCUGAUGCGACGCUGGUGCGUCUUAUCAGGCC
RNAcentral lists this non-coding RNA (71 nucleotides) under uncultured Escherichia sp. RNAcentral's name for it is "Nucleoid-associated noncoding RNA 4 (CssrE)". It matches the Rfam family "Nucleoid-associated noncoding RNA 4 (CssrE)". From Rfam's summary of the family: In E. coli small RNA transcribed from repeated extragenic palindromic element (REP325) called nucleoid-associated ncRNA 4 (nRNA4) collaborates HU protein in condensing the DNA. The secondary structure but not the sequence of the RNA is important in nucleoid condensation. The record is from RNAcentral. Lineage: Bacteria; Pseudomonadati; Pseudomonadota; Gammaproteobacteria; Enterobacterales; Enterobacteriaceae.